UACGUAGGGGGCAAGCGUUGUCCGGAUUUAUUGGGCGUAAAGAGCGUGUAGGCGGCCAGGUAGGUCUGCUGUGAAAACUCGAGGCUCAACCUCGAGAUGUCGGCGGAAACCAUCUGGCUAGAGUCCGGAAGAGGAAAGUGGAAUUCCUGGUGUAGCGGUGAAAUGCGCAGAUAUCAGGAAGAACACCCGUGGCGAAGGCGGCUUUCUGGGACGGUACUGACGCUGGAGACGCGAAAGCGUGGGGAGCGAACAGG
Molecule: ribosomal RNA, 254 nt
Filed under: uncultured bacterium
Lineage: Bacteria
Description: partial 16S ribosomal RNA
Rfam family: Bacterial small subunit ribosomal RNA
Source: RNAcentral